This 234-nucleotide long non-coding RNA is filed under the name Setaria viridis. Its description in RNAcentral is "long non-coding RNA (SVIR_LNC003662)". Lineage: Eukaryota; Viridiplantae; Streptophyta; Magnoliopsida; Poales; Poaceae. The record is from RNAcentral.
UGGCCUCCAAUUGCCCAAUCUUUUCGUUCGUGACCUGCAAGUCAUUAUCAAGCCCUUUUGUGUGCGUCUUCACUAGCUUUUCAAAAUGUUGUAUGAUGCCCUUGGUGUCCUCUGUUCCUGUCAUGGUUAGACAAACAAUGGCAACAAGAAAACAGAUGGUGAAGAAAUAAAAACCCUACAGCUAUUAGGAUGUAGCUAUUGCAAGGUGCUCACUCUCAACCCGUUUCACAAGCU